RNAcentral lists this ribosomal RNA (799 nucleotides) under uncultured Glomeromycotina. RNAcentral's name for it is "SSU rRNA". It matches the Rfam family "Eukaryotic small subunit ribosomal RNA", at positions 316 to 1125 of the family's 1831-position model. Lineage: Eukaryota; Fungi; Glomeromycota. The record is from RNAcentral.
AUCAACUUUCGAUGGUAGGAUAGAGGCCUACCAUGGUGGUAACGGGUAACGGGGUGUUAGGGCACGACACCGGAGAGGGAGCCUGAGAAACGGCUACCACAUCCAAGGAUGGCAGCAGGCGCGCAAAUUACCCAAUCCCGACACGGGGAGGUAGUGACAAUAAAUAACAAUACGGGGUUCUUUUGGAUUUCGUAAUUGGAAUGAGUACAAUUUAAAUCUCUUAACGAGGAACAAUUGGAGGGCAAGUCUGGUGCCAGCAGCCGCGGUAAUUCCAGCUCCAAUAGCGUAUAUUAAAGUUGUUGCAGUUAAAAAGCUCGUAGUUGAAUUUCGGGGUUAGUAGAUUGGUCAUGCCUUUGGUAUGUACUGGUCUUACUGAUUCCUCCUUCCUGAUGAACCGUAAUGCCAUUAAUUUGGUGUUGCGGGGAGACUGGACUGUUACUUUGAAAAAAUUAGAGUGUUUAAAGCAGGCUAACGCUUGAAUACAUUAGCAUGGAAUAAUGAAAUAGGACGUUCGAUCUUAUUUUGUUGGUUUCUAGGAUUGACGUAAUGAUUAAUAGGGAUAGUUGGGGGCAUUAGUAUUCAAUUGUCAGAGGUGAAAUUCUUGGAUUUAUUGAAGACUAACUACUGCGAAAGCAUUUGCCAAGGAUGUUUUCAUUAAUCAAGAACGAAAGUUAGGGGAUCGAAGACGAUCAGAUACCGUCGUAGUCUUAACCAUAAACUAUGCCGACKAGGGAUCGGAUGAUGUUAAUUUUUUAAUGACUCAUUCGGCGCCUUACGGGAAACCAAAGUGUUUGGGUUC